RNAcentral lists this ribosomal RNA (450 nucleotides) under uncultured bacterium. RNAcentral's name for it is "bacterial SSU rRNA". It matches the Rfam family "Bacterial small subunit ribosomal RNA", at positions 340 to 786 of the family's 1533-position model. The record is from RNAcentral.
UACGGAAGGCAGCAGUGGGGAAUAUUGCACAAUGGGCGCAAGCCUGAUGCAGCCAUGCCGCGUGUAUGAAGAAGGCCUUCGGGUUGUAAAGUACUUUCAGUUGUGAGGAAGGUGUUAAGGUUAAUAACCUUAGCAAUUGACGUUAGCGACAGAAGAAGCACCGGCUAACUCCGUGCCAGCAGCCGCGGUAAUACGGAGGGUGCGAGCGUUAAUCGGAAUUACUGGGCGUAAAGGGCACGCAGGCGGUUAAUUAAGUUGGAUGUGAAAUCCCCGGGCUUAACCUGGGAAUGGCAUUCAAGACUGGUUAGCUAGAGUCUUGUAGAGGGGGUAGAAUUCCAUGUGUAGCGGUGAAAUGCGUAGAGAUGUGGAGGAAUACCAGUGGCGAAGGCGGCCCCUGGCAAAGACUGACGCUCAUGUGCGAAAGCUGGGGAGCAAACAGGAUUAGAUACC